Long non-coding RNA from Anopheles merus, 578 nucleotides. RefSeq lists it as uncharacterized. The record is from RefSeq and is a predicted model, not a curated record. Lineage: Eukaryota; Metazoa; Arthropoda; Insecta; Diptera; Culicidae. The transcript has 3 exons.
AGGCGUAAAUGCAGUUUGUUUUGUUACAUGAUCUGCGGCUAUUUCAUCACCAUAGCUCCUGAUAACAGAUCAAAGCAGAUGGAUCGGACAUACAGAGUCGCCGUUUAAUUUAAAAUAUCUUCGUGACCGGCAAACGCAUCAAACAGCAAGUGUUUCUCUUCCAACAGCACGCACCAUCGGUGGAUCAAGCAGCUAACGAUUUGAUCGCCAGUACGCGCCGUCAAGAAUUGAUAUUUGGCAAACAGUACUGUGAAUAAAAUACUGCACACUUACUGUAGGAAUUUCCUGGAAUUUUUUGGUUGGCCUACGCUCGCGGGAAUGGUGGGUCCGUUGAUGAGAAGGAAAGAAAGGGUGGGAGCGAGGAUUAACCAAAAACGCGGCAUUGAGAAUGAGGGGAGGUGCGCUCAGCACUCACGCUGGGUCACUCAGGAUGCUUGAAAUAAAAUGUUAACAAGCAUCGAUUUUUUUAUACGACGACGUGCUCUAUCAUAACCAGACCAAUUAGGAAAGACAGAGCCUCCAGUGUUCAAUUUCUUCAACAAGAAAAUGAAUAUGUCCUUGCGUUGUGUCCCUCUGGC